AGUAAAGUCGUAACAAGGUUUCCGUAGGUGAACCUGCGAAGGAUCAUUA
This 49-nucleotide ribosomal RNA is filed under the name Mus musculus (house mouse). RNAcentral describes it as "partial 18S ribosomal RNA". It matches the Rfam family "Eukaryotic small subunit ribosomal RNA". The record is from RNAcentral. Lineage: Eukaryota; Metazoa; Chordata; Mammalia; Rodentia; Muridae.